CCUACGGGGGGCUGCAGUGGGGAAUAUUGCGCAAUGGGCGAAAGCCUGACGCAGCGACGCCGCGUGAGGGAUGAAGGUCUUCGGAUCGUAAACCUCUGUCAGCAGGGAAGAACGGUCACUGUGCUAAUCAGCAGUGAAUUGACGGUACCUGCAAAGGAAGCACCGGCUAACUCCGUGCCAGCAGCCGCGGUAAUACGGAGGGUGCGAGCGUUGAUCGGAAUUACUGGGCGUAAAGCGCUCGUAGGCGGUAUGUCAAGUCAAGGGUGAAAUCCCCGCGCUCAACGUGGGAACUGCCUUUGAAACUGGCAGACUGGAGUGUGAGAGAGGAUAGUGGAAUUCGAGGUGUAGGGGUGAAAUCCGUAGAUAUCUGGAGGAACAUCAGUGGAGAAGGCGACUAUCUGGCACAUAACUGACGCUGAGGAGCGAAAGCGUGGGUAGCGAACAGGAUUAGAUACCCGGGUAGUC
RNAcentral lists this ribosomal RNA (465 nucleotides) under uncultured bacterium. RNAcentral describes it as "partial 16S ribosomal RNA". It matches the Rfam family "Bacterial small subunit ribosomal RNA", at positions 338 to 795 of the family's 1533-position model. The record is from RNAcentral.